AGCUCCAAGAGCGUAUAUUAAAGUUGUUGCAGUUAAAAAGCUCGUAGUUGGAUUUCUGGUACAAUGCGCCUGGCCCGCGACGGUUACGUCAGUGAGUGCUGGUGCGCGUUUGCCAUCCUUCUAGAAAACGUUUCUACCCUUCACUGGGCCGGACUCGCGAUCUAGAUCUUUUACUUUGAAAAAAUUAGAGUGUUUAAAGCAGGCUUUUUGCUAUGAAUACAUUAGCAUGGAAUAAUAAUCUAGGACUUCGGUUCUAUUUUGUUGGUUUCUAGUACUGAAGUAAUGAUUGAUAGGGAUAGUUGGGGGUGCUAGUAUUGGCCGGCCAGAGGUGAAAUUCUUGGAUUCGGUCAAGACUAACUUAUGCGAAAGCAUUCACCAAGGAUGUCUUCUUUAAUCAAGA
Molecule: ribosomal RNA, 400 nt
Filed under: phytoplankton environmental sample
Lineage: Eukaryota
Description: partial small subunit ribosomal RNA
Rfam family: Eukaryotic small subunit ribosomal RNA
Source: RNAcentral